GAUGAACGCUGGCGGCGUGCCUAAUACAUGCAAGUCGAGCGAACGGACGAGGAGCUUGCUUCUCUGAUGUGAGCGGCGGACGGGUGAGUAACACGUGGAUAACCUACCUAUAAGACUGGGAUAACUUCGGGAAACCGGAGCUAAUACCGGAUAAUAUUUUGAACCGCAGGGUUCAAAGGUGAAAUACGGUCUUGCUGGCAGUUAUAGAUGGAUCAGGGCUGCAUUAGAUGGUUGUGAAGGUAACAGCCUACCAAGGCAACGAUGCAUGGCCGACCGGAGGGGCUGAUCGCCCACCUGAGAGGGGAGACACGCUCAAGAGUCCUAAGGUAGGCAGCAGUCGGGAACCUUACGCAACGGGCGAAAGCAUGACGGAGCAAGGCGGCGUGAGUGAUGACGGUCUUGGGUUCGUAAAAACCUCUUAUUAGGGAUGAACAUCUGUGGAAGGAAAUGUGCACAUCUUGACGGUAACUAAUCAGAAAGCAACGGCUAACUACGUG
This 497-nucleotide ribosomal RNA is filed under the name uncultured bacterium. RNAcentral describes it as "partial 16S ribosomal RNA". It matches the Rfam family "Bacterial small subunit ribosomal RNA", at positions 28 to 507 of the family's 1533-position model. The record is from RNAcentral.